This 72-nucleotide transfer RNA is filed under the name Schistosoma japonicum. RNAcentral describes it as "tRNA-OTHER". Lineage: Eukaryota; Metazoa; Platyhelminthes; Trematoda; Strigeidida; Schistosomatidae. The record is from RNAcentral.
GAUUCAAUGGCUCAAUGGUAAAGCGUUCGCCUCGGAGCCAGAGGGCCCCGGGUUCGUUCCCCGAUGGGGUCG